CGUGUGCAAGUGUUCAAAAAAACCAAGGCGCAGACAUGGCCCCUCAUUGUUGGGCAUGCAGACAAAAAAGGAGCCUUGUUUGUGCGCACGAAUCAGAGAGGGCCGCCGUCGUCGACUUGGCGGGUCGAGAUUGCAGAGACACGUGGCGUAUGAAAUUCGGCCAUGGGCAAGAGACCCUGUGGAUCUCGGUCUGCCGCGAGGCGCAGGCGAUCGGCGACGACGCGACGCAUAAAGACUGCCUCGAUCGGCGAGGGCGCGGUCGGUGCGCCGACGAGCAUGUGAAAGCCGUCGCCGCCGCGCGCCACAAACUGUUGCAUGAUGACCCGGUAAAGCGUAUCUGCUGCAAGAGGCGCACCGUCGCACGUGAUGGACAAUACGCGUCGACCGACCGGGCGUCGUGGAUCAUAGACCACACGCCACGGCGCCGACACAUGGAGCAGCGCGCGCGAGUGUAUCUGCCCCUUUUGAGCACUUGCACCUGCAGAUGUGUCGUCUUUGACAUCAUCUUGACCGCCCAUAUCAGCCGACAUGCCGGCGACAGCGUGUUCAAAGGCGGCGGCCAGUUUGUCGCCAGAGACAAGGCGCACGGCACACCGCGACAUCGUGGGCAUUUCGACGCGCAUGUCGCGUGCGGUAAAGACGUGUCCGGCGGGAUAAUCGCGUGCGCCACGUAGGGCGCCACCCUGGAUGAGAGCCAACACAUGCUCUGAGCCGUCGGCCUCGGCCAAGAGAUCGCAAAAGAGGUCGGCCAGUGGACACGGCCCGCUGCGCGCCGCCGUACUGCUCGUGGCGCGGGAAAACACGCACAGCGCCGUCGUAUCCGACAAUACCAAGUCGCUCGGAUCUAUGUCCACCUUGGGGCUCUGGGCGGUGAGGUGUUGCAACAGGGCGCUCACACGCGUCCGAGUUGACCGCUCUUCCAGUGUCGCCUGCACGUCGUUAUCGCCGACAGCAACGUUGGGCAAGACGUCGAUAGACUCGACCCGUGUGCCACUCUUUUCGUCUCCUACACGGAGGACGAUCCGGCCGAGGUGGUCGGCGUCCGAGCCACACUUGACCACCGGCGCGCGACCCUCGACGCGGUCCACAACGACAUGGUGUUCGUGACCGCCGAGCACAAUGUCGAUACGGUCUCUUGCAUGACGGGCCAACUGCACGUCCUCGUCCAGGUCCAUGUGGGUGAGCGCGACGACGGCGUCCAAGUCGGCGAGCGCCGGCGAGACCGCAUCAAAUGCGUCCUCGGGCGACACAAACAAGGCACCGCCGUCGCCCGCCGACGAGAUCAUGGGCGCGUGCGGCGUGCAGAACCCGACCAAUCCAACACGGUGACCGCCGCGGGUGACGACCAUGUCGGCGCGCACCGCGGCCCCAAAAGGAGGUUGGCGAUCCUUGAUGUGGUCCAAUGCAGAAAUGGCAACGUCACGCGACGCACACACGACCGGUAGUCGCGUCAUCGGACCCGGUGCGACCGAGGGCGGUGGAUUCUCUGGACGUGUGGCGUCAAUGUUGGUGCACAGCCAGCAAAAGGGCGACUCGGCGCUGCGCAGGGCGCAUCCAUGGGUGCCGCGAUCAAACUCGUGGUUGCCGGGCACGACGUGGGUGACGCCGGCAGCGGCCAACAGCGGCACCAUGUGACGGCCGCAAUCUUGUGGGCCGCGGCCCGACAGACGCGCCGCGGCCGUCAUAAAGUCGCCGCAGCAGCACACGAUGACAGCGCCCGCCGGGUCGUCGGGGUCGUCGAGGGCGGCCUGGCGCUCGCGCGCAAUCAUGGCGCACAAACCGACAAAUCCGCCGUUGGUGCCGCCCGCCGGCUGCUCUAGCACAUAGAUGUCGUUGAAUGUCAGGAUCACGACACGCUCGCCACGCACCAUGGUCUCGCUAAAUGUUUUCUUUUUUUUUCAGAAAAAAAACAGACGAGGCAACGGAAAAAAGUGAAACCAAAGGGGGGAGGAGACAAUCCCUGUGGCGGUGCGCGCGCGGCGGCGGUGGUUUCCAAGAAUAGCGCCAGCCUCAACUCGGCCGACCCCGCAAGAUCUUGGGGCGCCGCCGACCAGACCGCGUGGCCACAUCCAACAAGCGACGGCAUUUGUUGUGCCGCCUGGCCAAUAAAAAGAAAAGAGACAACCUCUGACAUCCAA
RNAcentral lists this long non-coding RNA (2138 nucleotides) under Pandoravirus quercus. RNAcentral describes it as "hypothetical ncRNA". The record is from RNAcentral.